RNAcentral lists this long non-coding RNA (294 nucleotides) under Elaeis guineensis (African oil palm). RNAcentral's name for it is "long non-coding RNA (EGUI_LNC023406)". The record is from RNAcentral. Lineage: Eukaryota; Viridiplantae; Streptophyta; Magnoliopsida; Arecales; Arecaceae.
UGAUGGAAUUUACAUAUAUGUCAGUCUCCUUUUAGGGUUAUGCUCUUGAGACUACUUGUCAUGUUCUCAACUGAAUUUCAAAUUAAUCAGUUGCAAAGACUCCAUACAAGAUAUCGACUAGGCAUAAAUUGAUACUUUCUUACCUUAAGAUUUCAGAGUGUUUGUUUUAUGUCAAGCAUUUGCAGAUCGAUUAGAAUAGAUUUCGAUCUUAUAUGUAUUAUUUUGUAGGGUAACCCUAAAGAAUGGGAAAUAUAACUUCUACCUUGCUAAAGAAUAAGAGUUGUUUGGCAUUUC